GAUGAAACUUGGGUGGGACUCGAAAACGGGGUUUAAUCGGAAUAUAACGUCAUGGAAAUCGCCAUUUGAUCCUUCUCCGGGUAAUUAUACGUUUAAACUUGAUGUUAAUGGUUUGCCUGAAGCUUAUUUGACAAACAGAGAUACAAUUUUCUAUAGAAGUGGACCUUGGAAUGGUGUUGGAUUUAGUGGUGUACCAGAAAUGAAGCCAACAGAUAUUAUAGUUUUCGAGUUUCAGAUGAAUAAGGAUGAAGUUUACUACACUUUUGAGGUAUGUUCGUCUCUUCACGUAUGAGUCUGAUUCUUUUUUAGUAAUGACAGGUAGCGUUAUGUUGAGUCUCAUGCUAGUGGUGGGAUCGAGGCAAUCUUCACUUCAUGAACAAGUGUCGAAAGAAUCAAAACGUGGAGGCUUGUGGAUUAGGUGUCAAAAAAAAUAAAUACUUAUCUCCCUUUCCAUUUUCCUAACAAACAAUUUUUUUAAAAAAUAAAUCUUUAUAGACAACAAGAAGUACUACUACAUAAGCUAACAAAUACCCCAUUUUUUGAAGUCAACAAUGACAAACAUUAACACCAAAAAACACAUUUUUCAUCUAUGUUCUUGCUUCUACUUUCUUCUAAUUUCACAAAUCCUCGCAAUAGCAGCAACAACAACAGAUAAUACGAUAACGAUUACAAAUCCCCUUACGAUAUCGAAAACUUUAGUCUCUCAACAAAAAAAAUUCGAAUUAGGAUUUUUCACUCCUGGUGGUCCGAAUUCAGACAAAUGGUACGUCGGAAUAUGGUACAAAGAAAUCAAAGAAACGACGAUAGUUUGGGUUGCGAACAGAGAAAACCCCGUCACCAAUUCAUCGUCUCCCCCUGUGUUAAAAAUAACACAAGAUGGACGUCUUGUUAUUGAUAAUAGAGAUGGAAAUUAUACGUUGUCAUUAAAUUCCGCGAAUAAUAAUACUACAUUUAUCGCUAAGUUAUUGGAUUCAGGUAAUUUCGUCGUUCUAACAGAGAAAGACGAAAUUAUGGUGUGGCAGAGUUUUGAUUAUCCAACGGAUACUCUGUUACCCGGGAUGAAACUUGGGUGGGACUCGAAAACGGGGUUUAAUCGGAAUAUAACGUCAUGGAAAUCGCCAUUUGAUCCUUCUCCGGGUAAUUAUACGUUUAAACUUGAUGUUAAUGGUUUGCCUGAAGCUUAUUUGACAAACAGAGAUACAAUUUUCUAUAGAAGUGGACCUUGGAAUGGUGUUGGAUUUAGUGGUGUACCAGAAAUGAAGCCAACAGAUAUUAUAGUUUUCGAGUUUCAGAUGAAUAAGGAUGAAGUUUACUACA
RNAcentral lists this long non-coding RNA (1317 nucleotides) under Solanum tuberosum (potato). RNAcentral's name for it is "long non-coding RNA (STUB_LNC003346)". Lineage: Eukaryota; Viridiplantae; Streptophyta; Magnoliopsida; Solanales; Solanaceae. The record is from RNAcentral.